AUCCUUACCUGGCAGGGGAGCCACCACUAUCAGGAAGGUGGUUUUCCCAGGGCGAGGCUCACCCAUUGCACUGUGGAUGUGCUGACCCCUGCGGUUUCCCCAAAUGCGGGGAAACUCGACUGCAUAAUUUGUGGUAGUGGGGGACUGCGUUCAAGCUCUCUCCUG
RNAcentral lists this small nuclear RNA (165 nucleotides) under Echinops telfairi (small Madagascar hedgehog). Its description in RNAcentral is "U1 spliceosomal RNA (ENSETEG00000021452.1)". It matches the Rfam family "U1 spliceosomal RNA". From Rfam's summary of the family: U1 is a small nuclear RNA (snRNA) component of the spliceosome (involved in pre-mRNA splicing). Lineage: Eukaryota; Metazoa; Chordata; Mammalia; Afrosoricida; Tenrecidae. The record is from RNAcentral.